This 428-nucleotide ribosomal RNA is filed under the name uncultured prokaryote. RNAcentral's name for it is "bacterial SSU rRNA". It matches the Rfam family "Bacterial small subunit ribosomal RNA", at positions 355 to 774 of the family's 1533-position model. The record is from RNAcentral.
UGAGGAAUAUUGCGCAAUGGGGGCAACCCUGACGCAGCAACGCCGCGUGAGUGAGGAAGGUUUUCGGACCGUAAAGCUCUGUCGAGCGGGAAGAAGUGCAUGGUGGCUAAUAUCCAUCAUGCUUGACGGUACCGCUAGAGGAAGCACCGGCUAACUCCGUGCCAGCAGCCGCGGUAAUACGGAAGGGGCUAGCGUUGUUCGGAUUUACUGGGCGUAAAGCGCAUGUAGGCGGCGGAUCAAGUGGGGCGUGAAAGGCCUGGGCUCAACCUGGGAACUGCGCUUCAGACUGGUUUGCUCGAGUUCGGGGGAGGGUGGUGGAAUUCCCAGUGUAGAGGUGAAAGUCGUAGAUAUUGGGAGGAACACCGGUGGCGAAGGCGGCCACCUGGCCCGAGACUGACGCUCAAGUGCGAAAGCGUGGGGAUCGAACA